Molecule: long non-coding RNA, 829 nt
Filed under: Vombatus ursinus (common wombat)
Lineage: Eukaryota; Metazoa; Chordata; Mammalia; Diprotodontia; Vombatidae
Description: lncRNA (ENSVURG00010017595.1)
Source: RNAcentral
GAAUUUGAGCGCUAACAAAGUUGCUUUCCGACAGUUUGCACCCACUCAAUACCAAAAGCUCAUCACCCUAGAGAACUGGGCUUAGGGGUCCCACGCUCUGGGACCUUCUCCCUGACACUCCCAGGUGAACAACUGUUGAAGCUGCAACUAACUACGUGUAGCCCAGACUGCUUAGGCAUUUACCAGCUUUUGAAAGGAAACACUUUUUCGAAGAAGCACUAGAAAGAUUUCAGCUAUUGAGAACAGAGGAAGGAGGCGGGUGAAGUUGCAGGCACCGUUUUUUGCGCUCUCGAUCUUUCACCACCACUGUCUUUGUAGCCUGGGGCAAAGUGCAGACGAAAUCCCAAGCUGCAUCCCUGACUGCAUCUGGCAAACUGCACACAGGAGAGGAAUAGAAGAGGUCAAGCAGGACUGACGCUCUCCCUGAGCCUCGGAUGAACUGCCCAGAGGUAGAGAGCAGUCUACCUGGUUUGCUGCGUUUGGCUCUGGGAGCUCCUACAGGAGACACUGCAAAACAUGAAAGGAAAGCUUGCGGCCCUAACCCCAGAGAGCACUGACAAUUUCGCACAGAAAGGACGUCCUGGUUUCCGUUAGUUGAGUCUCCGCAAGCAGGGCUGAGAACUCAGAAACUCGACACAGGCAGAGCGCCGUAGGACGGGACUCGGGGGGUUGUUUGGAAGCAAGCUGAGAGGCCUGCAGUUGCUUAAGAAGUAAACGGAAGAAUGUGGAAAAGUGGCGCUCGGAGUUAAGAGGAUUCACCCAGAAAAGACGUGAGAGGCCUGUUGUAGCGUUCUCGAUUCUUAUCCCAACCACGGUCCUGAUCCAGCAC